This 455-nucleotide ribosomal RNA is filed under the name uncultured bacterium. RNAcentral describes it as "bacterial SSU rRNA". It matches the Rfam family "Bacterial small subunit ribosomal RNA", at positions 30 to 465 of the family's 1533-position model. The record is from RNAcentral.
AUUGAACGCUGGCGGCAGGCCUAACACAUGCAAGUCGAGCGGAAACGAGUUAUCUGAACCUUCGGGGGAUUUGUUGGGCGGCGAGCGGCGGACGGGUGAGUAAUGCCUAGGAAAUUGCCCUGAUGUGGGGGAUAACCAUUGGAAACGAUGGCUAAUACCGCAUGAUGCCUACGGGCCAAAGAGGGGGGACCUUCGGGCCUCUCGCGUCAGGAUAUGCCUAGGUGGGAUUAGCUAGUUGGUGAGGUAAGGGCUCACCAAGGCGACGAUCCCUAGCUGGUCUGAGAGGAUGAUCAGCCACACUGGAACUGAGACACGGUCCAGACUCCUACGGGAGGCAGCAGUGGGGAAUAUUGCACAAUGGGCGCAAGCCUGAUGCAGCCAUGCCGCGUGUGUGAAGAAGGCCUUCGGGUUGUAAAGCGAACUUUCAGUCGUGAGGAAGUAGUGUAGUUAAUAGC